This 2873-nucleotide long non-coding RNA is filed under the name Bemisia tabaci. RNAcentral describes it as "lncRNA ENSSSA2NGG010428". The record is from RNAcentral. Lineage: Eukaryota; Metazoa; Arthropoda; Insecta; Hemiptera; Aleyrodidae.
AUGCAAGUCUAUCGUCUUUCGAAGCUCCGGCUGUGGCCCAACAAGCCGGCCAAACUCUACGCGAUCCGGCGAUUCUUGGGAGGCAGCGCCACCUCCCGGAUUCGAGGAAAACUACUCGUGGCUUUCACCACCAUCAUCGUCCUAACCGCAUUUAUCGUCAGCUUUUGGAGUCGCCGCCAAGAACCGGUUGGGCGCUACAGCAACGCUUUGGGGAAUGAAAGCAAAGGUCUAGAACUUGGCGAGGUAUCAGCGGGCCCAUUCACUCACCAUCAUUUCGAAUCAACUGCUCGCGAUGGUCUUCGAGCUGAGAUUAAAAAACCAGCGAAUCCUAUCGAUUCAGACAACGAGUCAACCACGAAUUUGCUUCGAACCAAACUGCCACGUCUUCAAAGAGACAGAUGAUAAAGAGAUCUUAAAAAAUUACAAUUCUUAAAAAAACAGACUCGAAAAGACUGCACGAAUUUAGGUUUUUCUCAUCUAAAACAUGCCCAAAAUUAUGUCGAAUUUUUCUCUUUCUUUUUCCCUACUUUCUUUUUUCCAGCCCAAAAAAAUGAGAGAAAGGUAAUCGUUACCAUUGGAGGAUCCGGUGGAUUGGCUACAUUGUCUUUUCUCCAUUUAAACCCUUGGAAAGUAUCGAUUCUUGGAGAGGCCAGGUUCUCCGGAAAAAAUCGAUUAUUUAGCAUAGGUUUAAAUGGAGGAAAUCCGGUGUUGCCAAAUUGCUGGAUCCGCCUCCGAUCAUUAUUCAAGGACUUCACCGCAGCGGUUACAAUGUCACAUACCAAUUUAUAUUUUAACUUCUUCGGAUUUUAUCAAGGGAGUCCCUUAAGCUUGAUUUGAAUGUCAAUCGUAUAUUUGUUUGGAACUCGUACGAUUUUAUUUUCAUAAAAAAUGUUGUUUUUUUUUUUUUUUUUUAAAAUGAAAACAAUUCUAAUCAAAAAUACUUCUGCUUUAAUUACUUGUAAACUUGUGUAAUUAUGUAUUUUUACCAUGCAAUAUAUUAAUUUUAAAUAAAAUAAUUUGCAUAUAUGUUUUGAAUUUUACAAUCGCCUCUGUAGUUCUCAAAUGCCGAUUGAAGCAGAAUCUUUUUGUUUAGCUCGUGAAAAUAGGAAAAAAAUAUGUUUUUCUGAAUCACGGAUAUCUGUAAAGUUUCUUGAGAUCGUCGUUCAUGGUUACAUUAAGCUUUGUGUACACAAGGAAGAAUAUUUGUACAUACGUUGUUUCUAAACUGAGCCACAAACUGAAGUUUCUAAUUUCAAGCUGUAGUUCAUUUGAGAAUAACAAAAAUCUGUUAAGAUCAGAAGUAAUACCAACCUACCGCGACACAUGAUGUUUCUAUUGAGAGGAAAGCACCUUCGGUGAAUUGCCUGCACAAGUGCACAAUCAGGUAGUGUAAGAUUUAAGCACCACGGGCACAACCCGUUCUACGGAGGUGUUAAGAGUCAAAGACAAGAAUUACUCACAAUGAUCAGAACCGUAAAACAUAUGUACUUCAAUACUUCAAUUUCGUUUGAAGCCUUGCGUAUCGACGAUGAAACAAAAGAAGAAAAAUACAGAAAAAAAAACAAACUAACGACGACUAAUUAAAGUACUUUACAUGUCAUACUCAAUUACCUAAUUAUUUGCGAUUUUGUUGGCCAAUAACAUUGUGAUACAGUAAAAUAAUACAUUUCUCGGAAAAUUGGCAAUGUCGCAAUAAAAAUCAGAAAUAGUUUACUUCAUAUUCACAUUAGGCAACGCCGGAUAGAGAGGCUAUCGAGGCUUCAGGUAUAAUUGCAUGCGACAGAUAUUAUAUACAAGACAGAUCAUAGACAAUCAUAUACAAGACAGAUAUACAAGAUAUUAACGAAUUUCAUCACAACACCAGGAUGCCACUAUUCGGGCUCCACGGAUGUCCGUGUUGCAUACACACAAGAGUGAAGGCGUUUUAACAGCUUCGUUGAACGAUUUUUCUGUAUAAAAAUAAAAUAGCGGCGGAAAUUUUGAAUCGUUGCAUGGCGCUUGUGAUGCUUUGGCCGGGAGGUGACAAUAUGUAGAUUAAUGUGAUCAUAAUGUAUUACGUCACAGCAUAGCUUCUCCUGUUUACGAUGCAGUCCUGUUAGUCUAUGUGAUUCACAUCGCGUGACUACCAAAAAGAACCGGUAUACAAUAUGCAUCAUACGUGACGUUUUAAUCGUAAGAGGUUACGUCAUUCUUAUCAACUGGAUGACUUCAAGAUGUGUUUGACCGAUUUCGCUCAUGAAAUGAGAUCUACUUUCGGAGCGAACUGCUUACGUGCGUAUCCAGGUAUGCACCCAGUGCGCUUAUCACGGCGUCAAAUGUGGACGCAGUGAGACGACCGUAGGAAAAGUACAUUAAUGCAUUAUGAAAAUUAUAUAGACGCUCGUCUAAUGGAUUUAUUACGGUCAAUGCGUUUCCGAUGGUGUAGUAUUUACCGCAGCGAAAGUCGGAAACAUGCCCGUGGGCAAUGUUUAUCAUUAACGGUAUUUACACGGAUGCACCGAAGUAUGUUGUCAAACUGUUCGACGAUAUAAUGCAUUUCUUGAACAGCGCGUUAUUCCAAUUAGCAGCUUGUCGGCUGUGGAUGAUUCAAGGGCACACCAUUGCCGACUAAUUUUAAAAUGAUGGAUUUUACAAUGUUUGACCGUUUCAGUGUUUGACAAUGUUUUACAAUGGUUGACCGAAUUCAAAGCUAUUGCUUGAAACUUUCGCAAAAUACACACACCCCAUACGGAAACAAAAAUCAAGGGUAGUUUUCAAGAACUGACGUUCAGUCUUUUGAAUUUAAAAUAUAAGUAAUGACAGGAAAUAUGCAACAUCGGAAACAAAGUUGAGCGUUCUUACCAUAUGUCACCCUUGAUACACUCCUUAUUUUC